Molecule: long non-coding RNA, 3462 nt
Organism: Camelus dromedarius (Arabian camel)
Lineage: Eukaryota; Metazoa; Chordata; Mammalia; Artiodactyla; Camelidae
Exons: 9
Source: RefSeq, a predicted model, not a curated record
UUUUUUUUUAAUUGAAGUAUAGUCAAGUUUACAAUGUUGUGUCAAUUGCAAGGUUUUUUUUUGAAUUUUGAAUUAAAAAAUAUUUUUUCAGGAGGGUAAUUAGGUUUAUUUAUUUGUUUCAUUUUUUAAAAUGAGGUACUGGUGUUUGAACCCAGGACCUCGUACAUGCUAAGCACGUGCUCUACCACUGAACUGUACCCUCCUCCCCAAGGCAAGUUUUCUUAUCCAUUAUUCUGAAGCUUAGGAGUUCAAAUAAAUUGGAUAGAAAACCAGAUCUUUUGAUCCCACUGUAGUCCUUUUCUUUAUAUUCUGCUGAAGGAGGUUGGGGAAAGCACUUCCUUUGUUCACUUCCUUAUUCAGCAUUUUUCAGCAGUGACUUUGCAUCAGGGCCUUGGUAGGUGCUUGGAAACAGAAAACAAGAAAUGACCCUUCUCUGCAGGGCAGAAAGCCUAGACCAAAAGCUGGGUAAUGUGAUCCGAGCUACGGUAGCCAUUUGAAGACUCUGAGGACAAACUGUACCCCCGGAUUUACUUGAGCUUCCCUUGCCUUCUGCUUGGUACACACCAGGUCACCACAACCCAGAUGGGCCUGCAGCCCACAGUACAGUAUGUACCUCGAUCUCCUCUCCCCUCUCGUCAGGGCCUGCAACAUGAGCAUCCCUGACUACGAGCAGUGUGCUGAGGACCACCAGACUUUCCCCGUGGUGGUCGAACAGGUGGGGAUCAUCUCAGAGGAGAAUUUCUUUUGCAUCUAUAAGUGAAUCACCUUGGUGAGUCAGAUCAGUCCGUGCGGCUCCCAGUGGGCAAACUGUAUCCACUACAGGCACCACUAUGCGCCCAAGAAUGGGUGGAGCGACUUCCAGACCCACCGCAAGGUCUUGGGCCUUGUCAUCAUUACUGACUGCCUCUCGGCCAAGGCUUCGAAAAGCUCCACGUGCAGAGGAGCUGUAUGGCACCACGCUCUAUGACUCUCAGCUCUUUGACUUUCUGCUGCAUGGGGAGGUGGCCGAGCAGCCGCGCACCAAAGUGGCCUUCAAUUUACGAGGACUGCAGGGUGGUGGAGAAGAGGAUCAAGGACUUCACUGAGUCACUCUUCAUCUUGCCCAAGUCCAAGAGGCUGGACUGUGCAUCCGACAAUUCUGGGGACAAGAUCCUCCUUCUCUGCAUCCCAUUUGAGAAGGAGGACAUCAUGGGACUGGACACAGAAAGCAGUACGUUUUGGUUACUGAGUCCCUCGAAUUCCCAUAUGAAUAGUAGCAGCAGCUAGUCAGUUACUGCAGAGGAGCCCGCUGGGAUUGUGAUCGAGACCACGUUGAGUAUACAGAUCGCUCUGGGGAGCACUGCCAUCCCAAGAGCGCUGUCAUCUGAUCCAGGAAUGUGCGUGGUGUGUCUGUCCAGGGGAAAAGAGUACAAUUCAAAAAUAUAAAGAUUGUGAGCUAAUGAGAUAGACAAGACAACCGAACAUUUGUUAAAUAUCCUUUCAUGCCGGAAACAAAUGUAUUAUACACACAAAAGGCACACAAAUCACGGUAGUACUGCGGUUACAAACGUGGGUCCGAGUUCGAGUCCUGCUCUGGAGUGACCAGUCCUGUGAGAUGGAGAACUGAGUUCUAUGUAUAGUUGGUUACAUUCUAUACCUGGAAAUUUCUCCAAAACUGCUUCCCACGUGCCCUCACCUCCAGUGGCAUCCAUCCAGACACCAGCACUGACACUGGCCGUGCUCACAACUGCCUUAGCCCUGAAGACACAACUGACAAAUAGAAGGGGGCUACGCCCUAAGACAGCAGGUGCUCUUACUUUGUGGGUCCUUAUGUAACUGUGCGGUGUUAUUCAGGAUCGCCCGUUCUACACUUUGUGACGCUGCUGCCGUGUCUCCUAGUUAUUUCUGAUCUGAGAAGCAGGAGCAAGGAACUCAGGGAGAGAUCCAGGAAGACAUCUGACUCUGUUAAGAGACGACAGUCACAGCGACACGGGGAGCGAGGACACUUGCAGCAAAGUAAAAUGACUUCACAACUAUUGCAUCAGAGCUGCAGGUGUGAGAGAGCCUAAGCCUGUCUCAGAGUGCAGGGGACAAGAGGAAAGGAAUGGCUCCUCAGCUCAGAUGUAAGAAAAGACUCUUUAAACUUCUUGAUGCAGCUCCUUAAUGAAGAUCUUGUGAAGGAAACCUACUCAAAACCUGGGAGCCUAUCCUUCCAAAUGUCCAGGAGACUCUUCCUCAGUCUUGAGUUUCCCGCUGAUGUUACCACUGUCUUUGUUUCUGGAGAGGAAAACAAGUCUAAACUUACUUUCCAGUUGGAAAUGGAAUGGAGAGUUAACGUUGGAAGCCGGGAGAGUCUGUCCUGUGAUGAAGCGGUCUCUGAGCCACUUCCAUGGGGACGUCACGUCACUGUCUGGGCCCCUUGCACAGCCUGUGCACAGCAUUCCUAGGAGAGAAUUCAGCAGUGCAGCAUCCUCUCCGAGCUCUAUGAGUUGAUCGGCUUCCACCGCAAGUCCGCCUUCUUCAAGAGGGUGGCCCCCUUGCAGCGCGUGGCCCCCGGCAUUACGGAGCCUGGCGCGAAGGCCUGCUACCGACUCCUUCUGCGGACGCUUCCUGGCUACAGUCUGUCGCUGGAUCUGCAGGACUUCAGCAAAGGUGUUGGAACUAAAACAUUGCUUCAGUCCCAUUAACCAUGCCUGGUUUGGGCCCUGCUGUCCUGUCUCAUCAGGGUGAAUUCUGAUUCGUUUAGAAUAGGGCUCAGCAGACUUUUUCUGUCAAGGGCUUGGGAGUAAGUAUUUCAGGGUCUGCAAACCUCCUGAUCUCUGGUGCAGCUGCUCAGCUCUGCUGUUCAGACGCCAGAGCAUCCGGACAUUCCACACACCCACAGAGCUUUAUUAACAGCGGUGUCUGGGGCUGGAUUCAGUGUAUGAACUGCAGUUUGUCCCCACAGCCUCCUCAUUAUUGACGCCUUCAACAGAGCAUGCAUUUGCGACACUGGGUGAACCUGCACUGACACGUCAUCAUCACCCAGAGCCCAGACUUGACACUAGGAUUUACACUUGGUGGUGUGCACUCUGUGGGUUUGGACAGAUGUGCAAUGACAUGUAUCCACCGUCACAGCAUCAUACAGAGUAGUCUGUCUUAGUGACCUUAAAAUGCUCCGUGCUGCACCUCAUUCAUUGCUCCUUCCCCUCUAGCCUCUGACAGCCACUGAUCUUUUAGUCUCUGUGGUUUUCCCUUUCCCAGAACACCAUACAGUUGGAAUCAGACAGUUGCGGAACCUUCCCAGAUUGGCUUCUUUCACUUAGUAAUAUGCAUUUAAGGUUCCUCCAUGUCUUUCCAAGCCUUGAUAACUCAUUUCAUUUUAGCACCAAAUAAUAGUCCAUUUUCUGGCUGGACCACAGUUAAUCCAUUCACCUACUGAAGAACAGCUUAGUUGCUUCUGAGUUCUGGUGAUUAUGAAUAAAGCUGCUAUUAACAUCUGUA